AACGAACGCUGGCGGCGCGCCUAAUACAUGCAAGUCGAGCGAGAAGACGUAGCAAUACGUUUGUAAAGCGGCGAACGGGUGAGGAAUACAUGGGUAACCUACCCUCGAGUGGGGAAGUAACUAGCCGAAAGGUUAGCUAAUACCGCGUACGCUCCUUGGACUUCGGUUCAGGGAGGGAAAGACGAUACCGUGGGUAGUCGCGCUCUUGGAUGGGCUCAUGUCCUAUCAGCUUGUUGGUGAGGAACGGCUCACCAAGGCUUCGACGGGUAGCUGGUCUGAGAGGACGAUCAGCCACACUGGCACUGCGACACGGGCCAGACUCCUACGGGAGGCAGCAGUAAGGAAUAUUGCGCAAUGGGCGAAAGCCUG
RNAcentral lists this ribosomal RNA (369 nucleotides) under uncultured bacterium. RNAcentral describes it as "bacterial SSU rRNA". It matches the Rfam family "Bacterial small subunit ribosomal RNA", at positions 29 to 385 of the family's 1533-position model. The record is from RNAcentral.